UACGUAGGGGGCAAGCGUUGGUCCGGAUUUAUUGGGCGUAAAGAGCUCGUAGGCGGCUUGUCGCGUCGACUGUGAAAUCCGCCGGCUCAACGUGCGGGUCUGCAUCGGAUACGGCAGGCUAGAGUUCGGUAGGGGAGACUGGAAUUCCUGGUGUAGCGGUGAAAUGCGCAGAUAUCAGGAGGAACACCGAUGGCGAAGGCAGGUCUCUGGGCCGAUACUGACGCUGAGGAGCGAAAGCGUGGGAGCGAACAGG
RNAcentral lists this ribosomal RNA (253 nucleotides) under uncultured bacterium. RNAcentral describes it as "partial 16S ribosomal RNA". It matches the Rfam family "Bacterial small subunit ribosomal RNA", at positions 524 to 776 of the family's 1533-position model. The record is from RNAcentral.